GCGACCGUGGUGUAGCGGUUAUCAUAGCUGCCUUCCAAGCAGUUGAUCUGAAUUCAACUCCCGGUGGUCGUA
Non-coding RNA from Schistosoma rodhaini, 72 nucleotides. NCBI's taxonomy places the organism in Eukaryota, Metazoa, Platyhelminthes, Trematoda, Strigeidida, Schistosomatidae. The record is from Rfam.